UACGUAGGUGGCAAGCGUUGUCCGGAAUUACUGGGCGUAAAGCGCACGUAGGCGGCUUUGUAAGUUAGAGGUGAAAGCCCGGGGCUCAACCUCGGAAUUGCCUUUAAGACUGCAUCGCUAGAAUUGUGGAGAGGUAAGUGGAAUUCCGAGUGUAGAGGUGAAAUUCGUAGAUAUUCGGAAGAACACCAGUGGCGAAGGCGACUUACUGGACACAUAUUGACGCUGAGGUGCGAAAGCGUGGGGAGCAAACAGG
RNAcentral lists this ribosomal RNA (253 nucleotides) under uncultured bacterium. Its description in RNAcentral is "partial 16S ribosomal RNA". It matches the Rfam family "Bacterial small subunit ribosomal RNA", at positions 524 to 776 of the family's 1533-position model. The record is from RNAcentral.